GACGGACGCUGGCGGCGUGCUUAACACAUGCAAGUCGAACGGAAAGGCCCUGCUGUUGUUGGGUGCUCGAGUGGCGAACGGUUGCGUAACACGGGAUUAACCUUCCCUUGCCUUUCGGAUAACUUCAGGUAACUGGGGCUAAUACCGGAUAGUAGCUCCUGCUGCUUGUUGGGGGUUGGAAAGUUUCGGCGGUUGGGGAUGGACUCGCGGCUUAUCAGCUUGUCGGUGUGGUAGUGGCUUGCAAAGGCAUUGACGGGUAGCCGGCCUGAGAGGGUGACCGGCCACAUUGGGACUGAGGUACGGGCAAGACUGAUACGGGAGGCAGCAGUGGGGAAUAUUGCACGAUGGGCGGAAGCCUGAUGCAGCAACGCCGCGUGCGGGAGGACGGCUUUCGGGGUGGAACCCGCUUUCGCCUGUGACGAAGCGUGAGUGACGGUAAUGGGUAAAGAAGCACCGGCUAACUACGUG
RNAcentral lists this ribosomal RNA (468 nucleotides) under uncultured bacterium. Its description in RNAcentral is "partial 16S ribosomal RNA". It matches the Rfam family "Bacterial small subunit ribosomal RNA", at positions 28 to 507 of the family's 1533-position model. The record is from RNAcentral.